This 739-nucleotide ribosomal RNA is filed under the name uncultured Pelagibacteraceae bacterium. Its description in RNAcentral is "bacterial SSU rRNA". It matches the Rfam family "Bacterial small subunit ribosomal RNA", at positions 97 to 874 of the family's 1533-position model. The record is from RNAcentral. Lineage: Bacteria; Pseudomonadati; Pseudomonadota; Alphaproteobacteria; Candidatus Pelagibacterales; Candidatus Pelagibacteraceae.
GGCAGACGGGUGCGUAACAUGUGGGAAUCUGCCUUUUGGUUCGGAACAACAUGGGGAAACCUGUGCUAAUACCGGAUAAGUCCUUACGGAGAAAGAUUUAUCGCCGAGAGAUGAGCCCGCACUUGAUUAGCUUGUUGGUAAGGUAAAAGCUUACCAAGGCAACGAUCAAUAGCUGAUUUGAGAGGAUGAUCAGCCACACUGGGACUGAGACACGGCCCAGACUCCUACGGGAGGCAGCAGUGGGGAAUCUUGCACAAUGGAGGAAACUCUGAUGCAGCGAUGCCGCGUGAGUGAAGAAGGCCUUUGGGUUGUAAAGCUCUUUUGUCGGGAAAGAUAAUGACUGUACCCGAAGAAUAAGGUCCGGCUAACUUCGUGCCAGCAGCCGCGGUAAUACGAAGGGACCUAGCGUAAUUCGGAAUUACUGGGCGUAAAGCGCGCGUAGGCGGUUAAGUAAGUUAAUUGUGAAAGCCCAAAGCUUAACUUUGGAAUUGCAAUUAAAACUACUUAGCUAGAGUUUAUCAGAGGAAAGCGGAAUACAUAGUGUAGAGGUGAAAUUCGUAGAUAUUAUGUAGAACACCAGUUGCGAAGGCGGCUUUCUGGGAUAAUACUGACGCUGAGGUGCGAAAGUAUGGGUAGCGAAGAGGAUUAGAUACCCUCGUAGUCCAUACCGUAAACGAUGAUUGUUAGAUGUUGGAAAUUUAUUUUCAGUAUCACAGCUAACGCGUUAAACAAUCCGCCU